CAGUAGCCACGGUAAUACAGAGGAUGCAAGCGUUAUCCGGAAUGAUUGGGCGUAAAGGGCGCGUAGGCGGCGAUCAAAGUCAGGCGUGAAAUUCCUGGGCUCAACCUGGGGGCUGCGCUUGAUACUUGGUUGCUUGAGUGGGGAAGAGGGUCGUGGAAUUCCCAGUGUAGAGGUGAAAUUCGUAGAUAUUGGGAAGAACACCGGUGGCGAAGGCGGCGACCUGGUCCUUGACUGACGCUGAGGCGCGAAAGCGUGGGGAGCAAACAGGAUUAGAUACCCGUGUAGUCCCUGUCUCUUAUAC
RNAcentral lists this ribosomal RNA (301 nucleotides) under uncultured bacterium. RNAcentral's name for it is "partial 16S ribosomal RNA". It matches the Rfam family "Bacterial small subunit ribosomal RNA", at positions 509 to 807 of the family's 1533-position model. The record is from RNAcentral.